Molecule: non-coding RNA, 87 nt
Filed under: Pseudomonas sp. OV226
Lineage: Bacteria; Pseudomonadati; Pseudomonadota; Gammaproteobacteria; Pseudomonadales; Pseudomonadaceae
Source: RNAcentral
UGUCAUGGCGGCUGUGCGCGGGAUACCUUCGGGUAUGCCGAGUUGCCAGAGGAUCGGUCCGCGAACCUGCGUACAGCUGCCACCCAA